This 88-nucleotide transfer RNA is filed under the name Streptosporangium sandarakinum. RNAcentral's name for it is "tRNA-OTHER". It matches the Rfam family "transfer-messenger RNA", at positions 283 to 374 of the family's 374-position model. Rfam says of the family: Bacterial tmRNA, also known as 10Sa RNA or SsrA, is named for its dual tRNA and mRNA-like properties. Its role is to liberate the mRNA from a stalled ribosome. Lineage: Bacteria; Bacillati; Actinomycetota; Actinomycetes; Streptosporangiales; Streptosporangiaceae. The record is from RNAcentral.
GGGGCUGAGAAAAGCACAGCGGGCUGCACCCGGAGAAGCCCUGUCUUGGAGCUGAAGGACGCGGGUUCGAUUCCCGCCACCUCCACCA